UACGGAGGGUGCGAGCGUUGUCCGGAAUCACUGGGCGUAAAGGGCGCGUAGGCGGCGCGGGAAGUCCGUGGUGAAAGCCCGAGGCUCAACUUCGGGUCGGCCAUGGAUACUCCUGGGCUUGAGCACUGUAGAGGCAGGUGGAAUUCCGGGUGUAGCGGUGGAAUGCGUAGAGAUCCGGAAGAACACCGGUGGCGAAGGUGGCCUGCUGGGCAGUAGCUGACGCUGAGGCGCGACAGCGUGGGGAGCAAACAGG
This 253-nucleotide ribosomal RNA is filed under the name uncultured bacterium. Its description in RNAcentral is "partial 16S ribosomal RNA". It matches the Rfam family "Bacterial small subunit ribosomal RNA", at positions 524 to 776 of the family's 1533-position model. The record is from RNAcentral.